CAAGGUUUCCGUAGGUGAACCUGCGAAAGGAUCCUUUCCCCGUAUCCAACAACCCUGAGAACCUUCAGCGUGUUCUUGCAGGACAUCAAAACAGCAACCCCGAGUAAAUCAGGCGCCAAAGAAUUACAGAUUUUGAUUUUGGGGAGUUCUGUGUGUACGUGGACGCUGCAAUUGAGCGCUAGAUAAAGCACCCUGGUGCCUAGAGCACUCCCCUGACUGAAAGCGGCAGGGAUCAAUGUUCAGGGUGGCGCAGUCAACGAUCGCUGUAGGCGAAAGCCCUACGUCAUCCCUAUGUACCCUCCGGGACUUGGCGAAAGCUGAUUCCGUCAUAAAUCGAACAACUGUUAACAAUGGAUAUCUUGGUUCUC
This 368-nucleotide unclassified non-coding RNA is filed under the name fungal sp. RNAcentral's name for it is "partial internal transcribed spacer region". The record is from RNAcentral. Lineage: Eukaryota; Fungi.